This 348-nucleotide ribosomal RNA is filed under the name uncultured bacterium. RNAcentral's name for it is "partial 16S ribosomal RNA". It matches the Rfam family "Bacterial small subunit ribosomal RNA", at positions 338 to 683 of the family's 1533-position model. The record is from RNAcentral.
CCUACGGGAGGUAGCAGUGAGGAAUAUUGGUCAAUGGACGAGAGUCUGAACCAGCCAAGUAGCGUGAAGGAUGACGGCCCUAUGGGUUGUAAACUUCUUUUAUAAAGGACUAAAACGAGGCACGUGUGGCUUUUCGAAUGUACUUUAUGAAUAAGGAUCGGCUAACUCCGUGCCAGCAGCCGCGGUAAUACGGAGGAUCCGAGCGUUAUCCGGAUUUAUUGGGUUUAAAGGGAGCGUAAAUGGGUGCUUAAGUCAGUUGUGAAAGUUGGGGGCGCAACGGGAAACUUUCAAUUGAUACUGGGAGUCUUGAGGACAGUGGAGGUAGGCGGAAUUCGUGGUGCAGCGGUG